RNAcentral lists this ribosomal RNA (574 nucleotides) under Proteus mirabilis. RNAcentral's name for it is "partial 23S ribosomal RNA". It matches the Rfam family "Bacterial large subunit ribosomal RNA", at positions 1 to 589 of the family's 2925-position model. Lineage: Bacteria; Pseudomonadati; Pseudomonadota; Gammaproteobacteria; Enterobacterales; Morganellaceae. The record is from RNAcentral.
GGUUAAGCGAAUAAGCGUACACGGUGGAUGCCUAGGCAAUCAGAGGCGAUGAAGGACGUGCUAAUCUGCGAAAAGCGUCGGUAAGGUGAUAUGAACCGUUAUACCCGACGAUAUCCGAAUGGGGAAACCCAGUAUCCAAUGGAUACUAUCAUUAACUGAAUCCAUAGGUUAAUGAGGCGAACCGGGAGAACUGAAACAUCUCAGUACCCCGAGGAAAAGAAAUCAACCGAGAUUCCCCUAGUAGCGGCGAGCGAACGGGGAACAGCCCAGAGUCUUAAUCAAUAGCAGUGUCAGGAGAACGGUCUGGAAAGUCCGGCAGUAAAGGGUGAUAGCCCCGUAUCUGAAGAUGCUGUUGUUGUGAACUCGACGAGUAGGGCGGGACACGUGUUAUCCUGUCUGAAUAUGGGGGGACCAUCCUCCAAGGCUAAAUACUCCUGAUUGACCGAUAGUGAACCAGUACCGUGAGGGAAAGGCGAAAAGAACCCCGGCGAGGGGAGUGAAAAAGAACCUGAAACCGUGUACGUACAAGCAGUAGGAGCCCCAUCACUCAAGUGCCUCGCACUGAGUGAUGCAA